RNAcentral lists this small RNA (74 nucleotides) under Pseudoxanthobacter soli DSM 19599. RNAcentral describes it as "Makes More Granules Regulator RNA (mmgR)". It matches the Rfam family "Makes More Granules Regulator RNA (mmgR)". Rfam says of the family: SuhB later renamed mmgR (makes more granules regulator) was a putative non-coding RNA found multiple times in the Agrobacterium tumefaciens genome and related alpha-proteobacteria. Lineage: Bacteria; Pseudomonadati; Pseudomonadota; Alphaproteobacteria; Hyphomicrobiales; Segnochrobactraceae. The record is from Rfam by way of RNAcentral.
UCCAUUUGCCCUUUCGGGCGUUUCCUCCCAAGACUUAGGCCGUCUCCUUUGAGGCGGCUUUUUCUUUUUCAGGC